AGAGUUUGAUCAUGGCUCAGAACGAACGCUGGCGGCAGGCUUAACACAUGCAAGUCGAGCGCCCCGCAAGGGGAGCGGCAGACGGGUGAGUAACGCGUGGGAAUCUACCGUACCCUACGGAAUAACGCAUGGAAACGUGUGCUAAUACCGUAUACGCCCUUAGGGGGAAAGAUUUAUCGGGGUAUGAUGAGCCCGCGUUGGAUUAGCUAGUUGGUGGGGUAAAGGCCUACCAAGGCGACGAUCCAUAGCUGGUCUGAGAGGAUGAUCAGCCACAU
This 275-nucleotide ribosomal RNA is filed under the name uncultured Rhizobium sp. Its description in RNAcentral is "partial 16S ribosomal RNA". It matches the Rfam family "Bacterial small subunit ribosomal RNA", at positions 8 to 313 of the family's 1533-position model. Lineage: Bacteria; Pseudomonadati; Pseudomonadota; Alphaproteobacteria; Hyphomicrobiales; Rhizobiaceae. The record is from RNAcentral.